AUUGAGAGCUUUGGCCAACAGCAAGGCCCGGAAGGCCUCGGAGGCUGGGAAGGGCCCCCCGCCAGGGGGGAGGGCAGGGCCGAAGGCUGGCGUGUCCUGGGUCCUGCUCACCGCCAGGCUGUCAGGGGAAGAAGGAGGAGCUGAGGAAAGAGGUGAGAGAUGAAGGAUGGCUCAGGACCCAGGAGACCCCCUCACCCCCAAACAGGAUCAUCACAGAGCGAGAGCCGGAAGGGACCAUAGGACAGCCGGUCCAACCUCCCUUUUUAUGGCUGGGGAAACUGAGGCCCACAGUUACACAGACUGUGUCCGGACCCCCGGUGCCUCGGUCCAAGCCCAUCCUGAAGGACGGAGAGAGGGUGGUGUAGACGGAGUGUGUCCCAGUGGAGUCCGCUGUGGCCAAGGAAAGGAAGGGAGGGGAAGCUCAGGGUCUGAAGGUCAUGGGAGAGAAGAGCCAGACAGCUCCGGCCAGGGCUCCGAGGGAGCUGUCCAGCCCUGCUCCGCCCCCACUUCCUCCAGCCCCAUCUGCCUGUCCUAGGGCUGUUCUUUGGGGCAGCCGUGCUGCUCCCCCUGGACACUCCACACUGCAGUGGCCUUCCUCCCACCUGGAGGGACACACACACACACACACACACACACACACACACACACACACGAGGGAGGACAGAAUGCGAGGGAUCAUGGCCAGAGUGAGGCUGGGCCAUCAAAAGUAACUGGAUAGGGGCAGCUAGGUGGCGCAGUGGAUAGAGCACCGGCCCUGGAGUCAGGAGUACCUGAGUUCAAGUACGUCCUCAGACGGUUGACACUUAUAGCUGUGUGACCCUGGGCAAGUCACUUAACCCCAAUUGCCUCACACAUGUAACUGGGUAGAUGAUAUGCAAAGGAGCCACAAAUCACUCCCCUCCCCCCUUCAUUCAGGCUUUGGAAAUAGGGCACAGGGUCAUCAGGUCUCCUUUUACAAAGGGGGAAACUGAGGCCCAGAGAGAAGAAGGGAGGUCAGCAGGUCCCACAGCUAGUGGGUGCAUGAUUCCCACACUGGCUCUCUCCCAUGGGGAGAAGAGACUGUCCCUGCAUCUGGUCACCAGCACCCUGGGAAUGGGCAGGUCCCCCCUAGAUCCAAGCUCUAGUAUUCCAGCCUGCAGGCCCAAAGAUGGAUCUCUAAAGGAGAAGUUUCAGGCACAUGCUGCCGGGGAAAGAUUGGGGAGCCUUCCCCCAUACCCCAAAAGUCUGGCUAUGGC
Dromiciops gliroides (monito del monte) is the source of this 1235-nucleotide long non-coding RNA. RefSeq lists it as uncharacterized. The transcript is spliced from 3 exons. The record is from RefSeq and is a predicted model, not a curated record. NCBI's taxonomy places the organism in Eukaryota, Metazoa, Chordata, Mammalia, Microbiotheria, Microbiotheriidae.